Non-coding RNA from Heterocephalus glaber (naked mole-rat), 46 nucleotides. NCBI's taxonomy places the organism in Eukaryota, Metazoa, Chordata, Mammalia, Rodentia, Bathyergidae. The record is from Rfam.
AAUCAGGUUUUAUUCAAGACCAUCAUUAUUAUAUAAGUAGUGUUAU